This 301-nucleotide ribosomal RNA is filed under the name uncultured bacterium. RNAcentral's name for it is "partial 16S ribosomal RNA". It matches the Rfam family "Bacterial small subunit ribosomal RNA", at positions 509 to 807 of the family's 1533-position model. The record is from RNAcentral.
CAGCCGCCGCGGUAACACAGAGGGUGCGAGCGUUAAUCGGAUUUACUGGGCGUAAAGCGUGCGUAGGCGGCUUCUUAAGUCGGAUGUGAAAUCCCUGAGCUUAACUUAGGAAUUGCAUUCGAUACUGGGAAGCUAGAGUAUGGGAGAGGAUGGUAGAAUUCCAGGUGUAGCGGUGAAAUGCGUAGAGAUCUGGAGGAAUACCGAUGGCGAAGGCAGCCAUCUGGCCUAAUACUGACGCUGAGGUACGAAAGCAUGGGGAGCAAACAGGAUUAGAUACCCCUGUAGUCCCUGUCUCUUAUAC